RNAcentral lists this long non-coding RNA (842 nucleotides) under Parus major (Great Tit). RNAcentral describes it as "lncRNA (ENSPMJG00000011767.1)". The record is from RNAcentral. Lineage: Eukaryota; Metazoa; Chordata; Aves; Passeriformes; Paridae.
AUGAGAUCCUGGGAGAAAUAAGGGCAAACAGGAAGAAUACACUUCCCUAACUCCCUUGGAUUUGUGACUGCCUUCACAACACUCUGCAGCACAACUCUGCAGUGGUGACCGUCUCCCUCUGGCAGUCUCAGCUUGGGCAGGGCCUGAUUCAAAUCCAUUAAAGCCACUCUAAGAUCCUCUUUGAUUUCAAAGCGCUUUGGAUUUAGGCUUCUUUCCCAUCCAACAGGAGCCCCUUCCAAAUCAGCUCCAAGGCACAUCAGCUGGAUGCUGUGCAAAGGGUUUCAAGCAUCAGUUUGAGCUCUGUGGGUAUUAAAGAGCACAACGUCCUACUCGAUUUUCAAUCAGCCACAUUCUGCCAGAAGUUGUAUUUUGAAAGAAAGGAGAAGGGAAAGGGGAGGUAAUCCCUCACACAAGUGUAUGCAGUGUGCACCAGUAGAACAUAAGGAAGACAUAAUGACAUCUUAUUAAAACAAUCAUUGAAAUGAAAAUUGAUUAUUUACUUUGUAACCCAUUAUGCUUUCCCAGAAAGUAGUUUUCAGAUAUAAUUUUCAAUUUUCUUUGAACCAGAUGCGUCUCUAACCACAAUCAUAUUUACAGCUCACAGAUGUUGCCAAUUUCAAGCCACCAGAGCAGAAAGGAACACCAGGAAGAAAGAGAGGGAUGAAAACUGGUCAAGACUACAGGUCUGGUGUCUAUGGGCAGGACCAGAGCUCACUUGCAUGUGCAGAUGUUUGUUUUCCCAAGGACAUACUGAUGUGCCACUGCAGGUGACAUGGAGGGGCAGAAAGAGGGAAGCCCCUGACCUGCUUUCCUCCAGAAGCAGAUGGAAAAAUGCAGCAUGA